AAGCGCUUACAACCAGACUUGGAGUUGACAUUCAGCGGUUCAUUGGAUCGUGUACUUUGUUAGCUACAGGCCAGCAUCAGUUUUCGCGGUUGGAAAAAAGCAUUGGGAACGUGGCUCCUCGGAGUGUUAUAGCCCUUUGCAGAAUACAGCCAGUGAAGACUGAGGUCCGCCAUUGAAGGAUGCUGGCAUAAUGGUUGUUAGCGG
This 204-nucleotide ribosomal RNA is filed under the name Microthyriales sp. RNAcentral's name for it is "partial large subunit ribosomal RNA". Lineage: Eukaryota; Fungi; Ascomycota; Dothideomycetes; Microthyriales. The record is from RNAcentral.